RNAcentral lists this long non-coding RNA (234 nucleotides) under Elaeis guineensis (African oil palm). Its description in RNAcentral is "long non-coding RNA (EGUI_LNC034516)". The record is from RNAcentral. Lineage: Eukaryota; Viridiplantae; Streptophyta; Magnoliopsida; Arecales; Arecaceae.
AAUCGUGCCAGCCCACAUGCCGACUAUGACUUUGACCUCCAUCUAUAAAAGGAGACAAGAAGAGAGACCCCAGGUAUGCAAUAAUUCUAAGCCCCACGCUCCUCUAUCUGUUGGUUCUACUAGCUGACUUAAGCAUCGGAGGAUCCCCAUCGGAAUAUUUUUUUGUCUGAACUUUUUAUAAGUACACCAUCCAGAGGCCCCUGUUCACACCUGCAAUUCCAGCGAAUCCGGCGU